This is a long non-coding RNA of Brienomyrus brachyistius, 374 nucleotides long. RefSeq lists it as uncharacterized. The record is from RefSeq and is a predicted model, not a curated record. The transcript has 5 exons. NCBI's taxonomy places the organism in Eukaryota, Metazoa, Chordata, Actinopteri, Osteoglossiformes, Mormyridae.
AGGUGUCCCCAAUAAAGUGGGUCCUCCCUGGUACUAGGUAUGUGUACCUAAUCAAGUGGGUCCUCCCCGGUAUUAGCUAGAUGUCCCCAAUAAAGUGGGUCCUCCCUGGUACUAGGUAUGUGUACCUAAUAAAGUGGGUCCUCCCUGGUAUUAGCUAGAUGUCCCCAAUAAAGUGGGUCCUCCCUGGUACUAGGUAUGUGUACCUAAUAAAGUGGGUCCUCCCUGGUAUUAGCUAGAUGUCCCCAAUAAAGUGGGUCCUCCCUGGUACUAGGUAUGUGUACCUAAUAAAGUGGGUCCUCCCUGGUACUAGGUAUGUGUACCUAAUAAAGUGGGUCCUCCCCGGUAUUAGCUAAAUGUCCCCAAUAAAGUGGGUC